RNAcentral lists this ribosomal RNA (365 nucleotides) under uncultured soil bacterium. RNAcentral's name for it is "bacterial SSU rRNA". It matches the Rfam family "Bacterial small subunit ribosomal RNA", at positions 26 to 410 of the family's 1533-position model. The record is from RNAcentral.
AGAACGAACGCUGGCGGCAUGCCUAAUACAUGCAAGUCGAACGAACACUUCGGUGUUAGUGGCGCACGGGUGCGUAACGCGUGGGAAUCUGCCCUUGGGUUCGGAAUAACAGUUGGAAACGACUGCUAAUACCGGAUGAUAUCGAAAGAUCAAAGAUUUAUCGCCCAGGGAUGAGCCCGCGUAGGAUUAGCUAGUUGUGAGGUAAGGCUCACCAAGGCGACGAUCCUUAGCUGGUCUGAGAGGAUGAUCAGCCACGACUGGGACUGAGACACGGCCCAGACCUCCGUACGGGAGGCAGCAAGUAGGGAAUAUUGGACAAGUGGGACGCGAAGCCGUGACUCCAGCGAAUCGCCGCGUGAGUGAGU